This 253-nucleotide ribosomal RNA is filed under the name uncultured bacterium. Its description in RNAcentral is "partial 16S ribosomal RNA". It matches the Rfam family "Bacterial small subunit ribosomal RNA", at positions 524 to 776 of the family's 1533-position model. The record is from RNAcentral.
UACAGAGGGCUCAAGCGUUGUUCGGAUUCAUUGGGCGUAAAGGGUGUGUAGGUGGCGCCGUAAGUCGGGUGUGAAAUUUCGGAGCUUAACUCCGAAACUGCAUUCGAUACUGCGGUGCUUGAGGACUGGAGAGGAGACUGGAAUUCAUGGUGUAGCAGUGAAAUGCGUAGAGAUCAUGAGGAAGACCAGUGGCGAAGGCGGGUCUCUGGACAGUUCCUGACGCUGAGGCGCGAAAGCGUGGGGAGCAAACGGG